RNAcentral lists this ribosomal RNA (254 nucleotides) under uncultured bacterium. Its description in RNAcentral is "partial 16S ribosomal RNA". It matches the Rfam family "Bacterial small subunit ribosomal RNA", at positions 524 to 776 of the family's 1533-position model. The record is from RNAcentral.
CACGUAGGCACCAAGCGUUGUCCGGAUUUAUUGGGCGUAAAGAGCUCGUAGGCGGUUCGGUUAGUCGGGUGUGAAAACUUUGGGCUCAACCCAAAGCGUGCACUCGAUACUGCCGUGACUAGAGUUCGGUAGGGGAGUGGGGAAUUCCUAGUGUAGCGGUGAAAUGCGCAGAUAUUAAGAGGAACACCGGUGGCGAAGGCGCCACUCUGGGCCGAAACUGACGCUGAGGAGCGAAAGCGUGGGUAGCAAACAGG